Syzygium oleosum is the source of this 466-nucleotide long non-coding RNA. RefSeq lists it as uncharacterized. The transcript is spliced from 2 exons. The record is from RefSeq and is a predicted model, not a curated record. Lineage: Eukaryota; Viridiplantae; Streptophyta; Magnoliopsida; Myrtales; Myrtaceae.
UUACUGUAUUGGCGUGAUCAAGGCUUUGGAGUUCAUUUGUUGCUUGUAAGGGCUGUCACUGGUUGUUUUAGCGCAUUUUUGCAAGAGCGGCGGCUCUAUAGCUCGCCACAUUCUACAGAAACUGGAGAAUAUGAACAUCAUCGACGUCGACCCUAGGGGCGGAAGGAGAGUCACAUCCAGCAUCCUGCGGGAUUUGGAUCAAGUUGCCGGGAGGAUCAUCGUAGCCCCAUGACGGAUUCAAGUCCCGGCAUGCCUGUGGAAAUGAUGCUGAUAUUUGGUUAUCCCCGUUUGGUUUCUCUCUGUUCUUUCGAAAGAACUGCUGUUUUUGUCUGAACAGAGGGGUUCUCUAUGCUGGAUGGACCCUCUUGUUCUUCUUGUUCCAUCAUUCAUUUCUCUUUGAACGCUACCCCAAUUUUUGUUGCUGUGGAGUAUGAUUGUUUCUCAAGCUCUUGGAUCUGGAACAUCA